This is a long non-coding RNA of Pangasianodon hypophthalmus (striped catfish), 1590 nucleotides long. RefSeq lists it as uncharacterized. NCBI's taxonomy places the organism in Eukaryota, Metazoa, Chordata, Actinopteri, Siluriformes, Pangasiidae. The record is from RefSeq and is a predicted model, not a curated record. The transcript has 3 exons.
CUCGGCCUGUGCCUGCUCCCUCAUAGACUCCUGAUGGAAGAAAGCAGCCACACGGGACAAGGGCAGAUCAUCCUGCUCAAAGAUCUUAGCCUAAAAAACACAACAUGCACAAAUUACAGUCAUCAUCUCAAAGACCCAGAAAGGACAGCACAUUCUAAAAACAUGGCCCAUGUUUCCUUGCUCUCCCUGGACUGGAUGAUGGACAUGAGGGACUGGCCAGCCCCCGGGGGCCCGUUGGGUCAGGAGGGAAGAAAGGAGAACACCCAGCUUAUGGUCAGCCUUGGGUCACCAAGACCUGCACUCCUGACUUGACCUCUGCUCCUUUAAACACGUUUAUAAUCACCUUGUCCAGAUUUAUGUUCUGUUACCAGGAGGCCGCAGCCAAGAGCUGGACCGCUGGCUUGGAUCUCCCACCAGGAAGAGCCAGCCUUCUUCAUAGAUUCUGCUCUGUGCCUAGUGCUCUGCUCUUCUUCAUAUGGAUUCUUCAACCACAUGUCCAGAUACAAGUGAGAAAAUGCCAAGAGGGCUACAGAAUGUGGGCUACUGUAACUCACUGCUUAUGAUUUUACACUUAUUUGAAGUGAAAUAUCCAAUGUCAAAUAUUAGCACUCUGGAUCAUCAAUUGCUGUUGUGUAACUUAUAGGUGUCUGCAAUAAAUUAUGUACGUUUGCCUGAUCUUUACCUCUGAUGCCGUUACGGGGCUAUAAAUUAGAACAGAUAGUUAGCAUUCUUAAAAAGAAAAUUUUAUGUCCAUUUGCAAUUGACAUGUCCUCUUACUGUAUUAAUGCUUGUUGUUACUUUAUUAUUCAUUUACUUAUUUAAAGCAUGUUAUUAAAUAAAACAAUUGGGGAAAUUACUGUAUGUAGUUCUGAGGGGUGAGGAAUGUGAGUCUGGCCUUCGAUAUGUCCUGAAAGUUUAAGGAAUUACAUUUUUUAAAAAAAGCAAAACCAAAUUAGGAUUAGUUGUACACCAUUGCUGUAGAUGCUAAGUCAAACUUUUUUUUGUUCUAUGUUAAUACGUGUAAUAAUAAAAUAUAUAUACUGAUAAAACACAUUACCAUCAGUUAUCCCUUGAAACAUUUUUUUGUAUCAUUGCUUCUGAAACUCUGGCAUAUACAAAGCAAUAUAAUGAAUUGAGGAUCUUUUAAAAAGUGAAACAAUUCUGCAUUAAGUGGUUGUGCUAGUUUUAUACUGGGCAUGUCCUUAAUCUGCUAAUAAGACCUAAAGAAGCAAACCCAGAAAACUACACCCCUCACCCUUUCCCUCAACUUUAGACCCCUCAUUCUCAGUUGUCCCCUGGGCAUGAGGAGAACCAUGACAUUACACAGCCUUCUCUCUAAUUAACCAGUGACUUUCUCCAGGACAUCAAUCUGAGUCAGUCUAGCUCAAAACAAAAAAGCCAAAGAUCCUAUUAACUGUCAACAGCAAGGUUGCCCUUGGCCCUGAGCGGCUAGACACAGGAGGGCAAAAUGCAGCAGGACCUGAUGAAAACACCAUUUACACUGCCAGCCUGCUACAUAUGGCUAUUCCAUUUUUACGCAGGACUCUUUUAACACUUGGAAGGAAGGUGUGAAAGAAAAGUUACCUUCGG